ACAAGUGUGUGGUCAAAAGCUGUGCACAGACGUUCCCAAAGCUCGACACAUUUCUGGAGCAUAUCAAGAGCCACCAGGAGGAGCUAAGCUAUCGCUGCCACCUCUGUGGCAAGGACUUCCCGUCUCUCUAUGAUCUGGGUGUGCACCAGUACUCCCAUAGCCUCCUGCCACAGCACAGCCCCAAGAAGGACAGUGCCGUCUACAAGUGUGUCAAAUGUGUCAACAAAUACUCUACCCCCGAGGCCCUGGAGCACCACCUGCAGACAGCAACUCACAACUUCCCCUGCCCACACUGCCAGAAGGUGUUUCCUUGUGAACGCUACCUGCGACGGCAUCUGCCCACCCAUGGAAGUGGGGGCAGGUUCAAGUGCCAGGUGUGCAAGAAGUUCUUCCGGCGGGAGCACUACCUCAAACUGCAUGCUCACAUCCACUCAGGUGGGUUCCCUGUCCCCAUCAA
Long non-coding RNA from Canis lupus familiaris (dog), 457 nucleotides. RefSeq lists it as uncharacterized. Lineage: Eukaryota; Metazoa; Chordata; Mammalia; Carnivora; Canidae. The record is from RefSeq and is a predicted model, not a curated record. The transcript has 3 exons.